RNAcentral lists this long non-coding RNA (421 nucleotides) under Homo sapiens (human). RNAcentral describes it as "lncAB74.1". Lineage: Eukaryota; Metazoa; Chordata; Mammalia; Primates; Hominidae. The record is from RNAcentral.
UUAAACCAUGGGUUUAAUGCAGCAAGGAAACUUACAAUGUCCCUUUAUAUAUAACAUGCAUCUUGUUUUGGAUUUGUGUCAUUUUUUAAUAUAGCUGAUUGACUUCACAGAAAGCAGCUUUUUUGAAUUCUAAUACAUAGGUGUAUAUUUGGUAUUAGUUAUUUUGAGUUCUUUUCAACUUAUAACACUGUAUACAGUUAUUUCUAAAGCACAGAUGAAAUAAGUUCUGCAUAUUUUUAAAUAAUCACAGUUCCCUGUUAUACAGAUAAUGUUCUCACUACCCAUAAUAUGUAGGAACAUUGUUUCUCCUUAGCCGUAGUAUGCAUACACCUAUCCAUGUUCAUUCUGACAUCCUUUGUUGUCUUUAUAAUUCAUGUGGUAGUUACCUAUAAAUAAAAACAAAUAUGAGUUAAAAAAAAAA